Molecule: long non-coding RNA, 2650 nt
Organism: Homo sapiens (human)
Lineage: Eukaryota; Metazoa; Chordata; Mammalia; Primates; Hominidae
Gene: BCAR3-AS1
Product: BCAR3 antisense RNA 1
Source: Ensembl
UCUUCCGGUUACUGACUCUGUGGCUGCUGCCUCCCACAACGCUGUGCUUGCAGACCCCAGGAGCGCUGGCUGUCCCUUCACUUCCUGAACAUGUGGAUGUGUGCUUUGGGUUCUUGACCUCAGCUCUUCCCAAGGUCUUCUUAGAGAAGGGUCUAAAUGAAGUCAUUUUUAGAGUAUUUGUUUUUGGUUACACAGGUGCUUCCGCCCAUGUGGCCUCGGAGUGGGACCCUGCGGGUCAUCAAUCUGUACAUUGCCUGAGAGCAGCCGUGUAUGCUCUGGAAGGGACAAGACCAGGUACCUGUCGGGGGAUGCGGCCGUGGUACCAGGCAUGGCUGCGCAGGUCCUCGCUGCUCAGGAGCAGCUCCUCCUCCAGCUCCUUCUUCAGUUUCUCGGGGGUCCUGUCCAUGAUGUGCCUCUCCUUGGAGAACUGCAACACAGAGUCAACCAUGAGCUCACCCUGCCCAGGCCACACCAGGCCAUGCCAGCUGGAGGUGACCGCCUGCUUCACUAAUCCAACCAGUUAUGCUACAGCCUGCAUUCAGGGAGAUGUGGCCACAGGACUCAGUUCUGACCAAGGAGCUGAGAUGUGAUGGCUGGAGACUCAACACCAUUCUGGACGGGUCUUGCUCUGUCUCCCAGGCUGGAGUGCAGUGGCGCAUUCAUAGCUCAAGUGAUCCUCCCGCCUCAGCCUCCCAGGUAGCCAGGACUACAGGUCUGCACCACCACACCCGGCCAUUGGUCUAAUUUCUAAGCAAGGCCAGUGUCUUCCAAUGAGCUCAGGGUGGGAAACCCCACGGGGGUUGGGCUGUGAACUGUACCAGGUGGCCCAAGCUGGGGGUCCAAAAAGACAGAUCCACAUCUCAAAUCCACUGAACUCUGGGAAUCCCUGUGAUGACCUGAGACCUGCAUCAUCACUGCCCCCAAUAAUGUUGUAAACAUGUAAAGAAACUGAAUCCCCAAAAAGCACACUUUCAAAAGCACUACACAAAGCAGUCUGAACCCUUCCUCUGAAGAAGGCUGCUACAUCUGGCAUCGUCUUACAAGUAAAUCCAACCCGAAAUGAAGUUCUUUGGAGAAUUCAGAAACUCAGCCCUUUUGAACCCCUGCCUUGCGUUGAAUUUCAAGCCAAGUUUACAACCAAAUUCUGAAGUAUAUAAAGGACUUUUAAAGACCCAAUUGGUAUUUUUACAAUUGAAAACCUGCAUAAAUUGAUCAUGAACCCAAAGAAUGAAUAAACCCCAAUUACUUUCAUCACUCUAAACCCUGCCCGAAGCUGAAAAUAAAAAUCCAGUUCUCCACAAGUUUGAAGACCAGUUACUUCUAGUACGAGCCCUUGGGUGUUUUCAUCUAAAGUAGAACAGAAAGAACAGGAAUGGCACUUGUGGCGAUCCUAAAGCCUUGCAAUGAAAUAAUUAGUAGAUUGGUUCUGUUUCACCUUUUACUGACACUUGCUGGUUUUGUGGCUUACUUAAAAAUAGUUUAUUUUAUUAUAAUCCAAAGAUAAAUGAAGAAAGGUUUGAAUUCACCAAUCCUACUUUUCCCACUGGGAUGCUAGGCUAGAAAAAUAGUUUCUUAUGCUAAUAACUGUGAUUAAAGCCAAAGCAUUUACUUAAAUAAUUAACUUUACAAAUAAAAAAGUUCAAAGAGAAAAAAAUUCAUAUUUUAUAUCCCUGUUGGGUAAACAAAACCAAAUGUGAACGUGGGCAAUUGGGCAUCUUUGCCUGACCCAGCCCAGUGGGCACAUGGUGGCCUGGCCAGCGGUCCAGGACGUUGCCAGAACCAUAGCUAAGGAGGUGCCACUUGUACACAGCUGUCAUGGAUCUAUAUAUUGAUUACAACAGCUGCCCAACAUAUGACAAUAAAGUGUCCUGAGGAAAGGGUGUCUUACUCUUAUUCACUCAAGAGGCACUCUACAGGCCAGCAGGGAGGGUCCCUGAGUGUGUCCCUGAGACUUCUCUGCCUUUUAGGUGUUGGACCCUUGGCAGAUGAGGACCUCUGGCCUCACUGGGCCCCUUGCUAUGAGCCAGCUCCUUCAAAUUCUCUCAUUAAAGCUCAGUGAAGCAGCCUUUGCAGAGAGCUUCCUAAUCCAUGCACACUUCACCCUUUUGGCUAAAGUUCUGCAGAAAUAGUCAGGGGCUCCAUUUUCAAUCAAGAGUUUGAUAGUCACUGGAACACCGUGCCUUAAAUGAAACCCAAGGACUUACUGCAUGCCUGCCGUGCUACUCUGCCUCUCUGGCUAGAUCUGAGGCAGCCGCAGCUGUGAUGGAAGGAGGACUCCAUGCCCUGCAGCAGUCACAGCCUUUUUGAGGAGACAAAGCAUUUGAAGAGAAUGUGCAGCAAUAAACAUCUAUCUUAUCUGGGGUCAGUGAGGGUUUCUGGUCCCUUCUGACAAAGAAAUUGGCAGCAGAGAUUCCAUAAAAAUUUCAAUAAGUUUUAGCAUUCUGAAACACUUCAAUUAGUUUGAUGUUAACGUUUAAGCACCUUGAUGAAAUAAAUUUAUCUCUUCCAAAUCCUAGAAAGAAUCUCCCUUUCGGCAAAGAUUCUGCAGAUGGGUUUUGAUGCCAUUUUUCCAUUUUGUAGUUAGAUCUCUAUCAUUUAUCACACUGUAGACCAAAUGGUCGUUUUAGUGCCAUUAAAAACUGAUUUGCAA